AGGUUAACCGUAUAGGGGAGCCGUAGAGAAAUCGAGUCUUAAUAGGGCGUUUAGUUGCUGGGUAUAGACCCGAAACCAGGCGAUCUAUCCAUGAGCAGGUUGAAGGUUGGGUAACACUAACUGGAGGACCGAACCCACUGUCGUUGAAAAGCCAGGGGAUGACUUGUGGAUAGGGGGGAAAGGCUAAUCAAGCCUGGUGAUAGCUGGUUCUCCCCGA
Molecule: ribosomal RNA, 217 nt
Filed under: Acinetobacter baumannii
Lineage: Bacteria; Pseudomonadati; Pseudomonadota; Gammaproteobacteria; Moraxellales; Moraxellaceae
Description: partial 23S ribosomal RNA
Rfam family: Bacterial large subunit ribosomal RNA
Source: RNAcentral